UGCAGUCGAACGAUGAAGCACCAGCUUGCUGGUGUGGAUUAGUGGCGAACGGGUGAGUAACACGUGAGCAACCUGCCCCGGACUUUGGGAUAAGCGCUGGAAACGGCGUCUAAUACCGAAUAUGCACCAUGAAGGCAUCUUCAAUGGUGGGAAAGAUUUAUCGGUCCGGGAGGGGCUCGCGGCCUAUCAGCUUGUUGGUGAGGUAAUGGCUCACCAAGGCGUCGACGGGUAGCCGGCCUGAGAGGGUGACCGGCCACACUGGGACUGAGACACGGCCCAGACUCCUACGGGAGGCAGCAGUGGGGAAUAUUGCACAAUGGGCGCAAGCCUGAUGCAGCAACGCCGCGUGGGGGAUGACGGCCUUCGGGUUGUAAACCCCUUUUAGUAGGGAAGAAGCCUUCGGGUGACGGUACCUGCAGAAAAAGCGCCGGCUAACUACGUGCCAGCAGCCGCGGUAAUACGUAGGGCGCAAGCGUUAUCCGGAAUUAUUGGGCGUAAAGAGCUCGUAGGCGGCUUGUCGCGUCUGCUGUGAAAACUGGAGGCUCAACUUCCAGCGUGCAGUGGGUACGGGCAGGCUAGAGUGCGGUAGGGGAGAUUGGAAUUCCUGGUGUAGCGGUGGAAUGCGCAGAUAUCACGAGGAACACCGAUGGCGAAGGCAGAUCU
RNAcentral lists this ribosomal RNA (663 nucleotides) under Microbacterium sp. RNAcentral describes it as "bacterial SSU rRNA". It matches the Rfam family "Bacterial small subunit ribosomal RNA", at positions 56 to 728 of the family's 1533-position model. Lineage: Bacteria; Bacillati; Actinomycetota; Actinomycetes; Micrococcales; Microbacteriaceae. The record is from RNAcentral.